GGGUUGUGAGGUUAAGCGACUAAGCGUACACGGUGGAUGCCCUGGCAGUCAGAGGCGAUGAAGGACGUGCUAAUCUGCGAAAAGCGCCGGCGAGGUGAUAUGAACCCUUGACCCGGCGAUGUCCGAAUGGGGAAACCCAGUGCAAUUCGUUGCACUAUCGUUAACUGAAUACAUAGGUUAACGAGGCGAACCGGGGGAACUGAAACAUCUAAGUACCCCGAGGAAAAGAAAUCAACCGAGAUUCCCCCAGUAGCGGCGAGCGAACGGGGAGCAGCCCGGAGUCUGAAUCAGCUUGUGUGUUAGUGGAACGGUCUGGAAAGUCCGACGGUACAGGGUGAUAGUCCCGUACACGAAAAUGCACAGGUUGUGAACUCGAAGAGUAGGGCGGGACACGUGGUAUCCUGUCUGAAUAUGGGGGGACCAUCCUCCAAGGCUAAAUACUCCUGACUGACCGAUAGUGAACCAGUACCGUGAGGGAAAGGCGAAAAGAACCCCGGCGAGGGGAGUGAAAAAGAACCUGAAACCGUGUACGUACAAGCAGUGGGAGCACCUUCGGGUGUGACUGCGUACCUUUUGUAUAAUGGGUCAGCGACUUAUAUUCUGUAGCAAGGUUAACCGUAUAGGGGAGCCGAAGGGAAACCGAGUCUUAACUGGGCGUUAAGUUGCAGGGUAUAGACCCGAAACCCGGUGAUCUAGCCAUGGGCAGGUUGAAGGUUGGGUAACACUAACUGGAGGACCGAACCGACUAAUGUUGAAAAAUUAGCGGAUGACCUGUGGCUGGGGGUGAAAGGCCAAUCAAACCGGGAGAUAGCUGGUUCUCCCCGAAAGCUAUUUAGGUAGCGCCUCGUGAACUCAUCUUCGGGGGUAGAGCACUGUUUCGGCUAGGGGGCCAUCCCGGCUUACCAACCCGAUGCAAACUACGAAUACCGAAGAAUGUUAUCACGGGAGACACACGGCGGGUGCUAACGUCCGUCGUGAAGAGGGAAACAACCCAGACCGCCAGCUAAGGUCCCAAAGUCAUGGUUAAGUGGGAAACGAUGUGGGAAGGCACAGACAGCCAGGAUGUUGGCUUAGAAGCAGCCAUCAUUUAAAGAAAGCGUAAUAGCUCACUGGUCGAGUCGGCCUGCGCGGAAGAUGUAACGGGGCUAAACCAUGCACCGAAGCUGCGGCAGCGACACUAUGUGUUGUUGGGUAGGGGAGCGUUCUGUAAGCCGUUGAAGGUGUGCUGUGAGGCAUGCUGGAGGUAUCAGAAGUGCGAAUGCUGACAUAAGUAACGAUAAAGCGGGUGAAAAGCCCGCUCGCCGGAAGACCAAGGGUUCCUGUCCAACGUUAAUCGGGGCAGGGUGAGUCGACCCCUAAGGCGAGGCCGAAAGGCGUAGUCGAUGGGAAACAGGUUAAUAUUCCUGUACUUGGUGUUACUGCGAAGGGGGGACGGAGAAGGCUAUGUCAGCCGGGCGACGGUUGUCCCGGUUUAAGCAUGUAGGCGGAGGUUCCAGGUAAAUCCGGUACCUUGUUAACGCUGAGGUGUGAUGACGAGGCACUACGGUGCUGAAGUGAUAAAUGCCCUGCUUCCAGGAAAAGCCUCUAAGCAUCAGGUAACACGAAAUCGUACCCCAAACCGACACAGGUGGUCAGGUAGAGAAUACCAAGGCGCUUGAGAGAACUCGGGUGAAGGAACUAGGCAAAAUGGUGCCGUAACUUCGGGAGAAGGCACGCUGAUA
Molecule: ribosomal RNA, 1721 nt
Filed under: Enterobacter hormaechei
Lineage: Bacteria; Pseudomonadati; Pseudomonadota; Gammaproteobacteria; Enterobacterales; Enterobacteriaceae
Description: partial 23S ribosomal RNA
Rfam family: Bacterial large subunit ribosomal RNA
Source: RNAcentral